Molecule: non-coding RNA, 72 nt
Organism: Phrynosoma platyrhinos (Desert horned lizard)
Lineage: Eukaryota; Metazoa; Chordata; Lepidosauria; Squamata; Phrynosomatidae
Source: the annotation of a GenBank genome assembly
GCCAGCAUGGCAUAGUGGUUUGAGUGUUGGACUAUGACAUUGGAGACCAGGGUUCGAUUCCCAGCUCAGCCA